RNA transcript from Mastomys coucha (southern multimammate mouse), 487 nucleotides. It is a transcript of the gene named nucleoplasmin-3 pseudogene, with no coding region annotated. The record is from RefSeq and is a predicted model, not a curated record. Lineage: Eukaryota; Metazoa; Chordata; Mammalia; Rodentia; Muridae. The transcript has a single exon.
UCCCGCUCCUUUACUUUAAAAGUUGAAGAAGAGAAUGACACGGAACCCGUGCUGGCUUUGAACAUGCUGUGCCUUACCGAGGGGGUCAAGGAUGAGUGUAAUGUGGUGGAAGUUGUGGCCCGGGAUCACAACAAUGAGGAGAUUGCAGUUCCUGUGGCCAACCUCAGGUUGUCUUGCCAGCCCAUGCUCAGUCUAGAUGAUUUCCAGCUCCAACCACCUGUAACCUUUCGCCUGAUGUCUGGUUCUGGUCCUGUUCGGAUCACUGGUUGGCAUCCGAUCAUUUGUGUAAACAAUGAUCUUUCUGAAGAAGAAAAUGAGGAUGAGAGCGAAGAAGAAAUUAAAUCGUGUGGCAUCCAUCCUGCCAAAAAGCAUAGGGGCAGGCCCCAGCCCUCUGGUCAGGAAGCUGCCUGCUCCAGGUGCCAUGCUCCAUAAGUUCCUGAACAAGUUCAAGAAUGUUUUUCUCUCUGGAGACAAUAGGGGGUGGGAG